This is a long non-coding RNA of Paramisgurnus dabryanus, 582 nucleotides long. RefSeq lists it as uncharacterized. The record is from RefSeq and is a predicted model, not a curated record. Lineage: Eukaryota; Metazoa; Chordata; Actinopteri; Cypriniformes; Cobitidae.
GUACACUGUUAGAUGUCGCUGUAGAUUUAGCAGUACAUUACUGUAAAAAUCCACAGUACUAUACUGUAUGUGUACAUUACAGUACAGUACUGCAGUUCAUAAUGCAUUCUGGGUAAAUUUGUUUGAGCGGGAAAAUUUUACAGUAUCUUUUGGUCUUGAUGUAACCUUGCUGUAGCCAUUGCUGUAAUGUGCCAGGUGUACUUGCAAUAAUCAGAGAAAGUGCGCCAGAGUCAAAUCACACAGACAGCACAACUCCUGGCUGCAGCUGAAGGAGGACGAUUGAUUUCUGGCAGUUCGUCUUACCAUUGCUUGUAAGCUGGAUUGGGUAAGAUGGAUCAUCUUUAAAGGCACCAGGAGUUAAGGCAGAUGUGGAGGCACAACGGGUGAUACCAGACACACACCAAGCACAUUAUGUUCGGUAAGUUUGCACUUUACCACUACAGUUUCUUUAAAUACCCAUGUAUACACUCAUUCACAAUUCCCACACACAACACUGUAACACGACCAUACACAACAUGUACACAAUUGUCUUAGUUUGCCAUGUAGAAAUAUACAAACAGAAAUAUUCAGACUUUGGUUAUA